This 2094-nucleotide long non-coding RNA is filed under the name Hordeum vulgare. RNAcentral's name for it is "long non-coding RNA (HVUL_LNC014602)". The record is from RNAcentral. Lineage: Eukaryota; Viridiplantae; Streptophyta; Magnoliopsida; Poales; Poaceae.
CUCAAUUAGUUGCCUGACCUUAAAAAUAAUGAAGCAUAGUACAUAUACAAAAUAAUUGAAGGAGAGAGCUUUAGGACUAGUCUUUUCUUCAACCCUAAGACAUAGUUUUGGUCUUGUAUGACUUUGCUAUUUGCCAGCCUGUUUAAUUGUAUGUGCACGUUUGUGUUGAAUGUGUGUAGUCUAACUACGCAAAAGUCAGAUGCAUGCUCAUUGUGUUUGUUUUCACUUGGUGCUUCAUUUUUAUUCUACACUCUGUCAAAAAAAAAUGCUGGCUUGCAAAAUAUUGGCAUCAAACUAAUUAGGCUCUCGGUCCCCACUUCGGUAUUGAUACAAAGCCUGAAUCCCAUGGCAUUUGUUUGUGGAACCUAGGGCAAUGACAGAUUCCAGAUGCUUAAUGUAAUGUCGGAUGCAUUGCACUUAGAAAAAGCAUUCAGUGUAGACAGAACAUUAGUCAACCAAAAUCGAAGUAAAGACCUACAGAUGGAACACACUCCCUUAAUUGCAGAUAGCAGAAUGAGUUGAUGGACGCCUCCAAUAGGGGCACUCUUUUCAUCACGUUUGUGCUCAGGGUUAGGUCAAGAAAAGUCUAAACAUUGUUUCCUGCAAAUAUCUUGAUGUGUACCAGACCCUCGAUGACACUGUCGCAAGUAACCCACCUCUGGGUAAUUUACAUUGAAUUCAUCUUGCAUUUUCUUCUUACCCUUUGCUUCGGGCUUUCAUUUACAUGUCUUGUCCCAGUUCAAGAGGUUAUAGGAAAUAACCCCCAGCACAGAGUGUAUUUUGCCUGUUGUCGACUCAGGAAAACAUUUUCUUAAUCGGUCCCCUGUUGACGUUAAACGUCUGUCGAGCAGGAAUUAUCCGCAAAGCUUCACACAACAACGACGUGGGGUGACGAUAUGACUUGCCUUGGUUGUGCUAACGAUAUGGUUGAAUGGUUGUAAUUUGAUAAGACAUGAAUCACCCGCAAGGCGGCUGCCCUGCACAUUGGGACCGAGACAAGAUUAUGGUGCGCUCAAUUGUUGACUGGCCCAUGGAGACUGUGACAUGAUUUGCUUGCCAUGCUUGAAUUUGGUUUCCUCCAAUUUCUCACCAAUGCUAAUAAAUGAAAGGUUAAAUAUAUCUUAUCGUGAGUUUGAGACUACGGAUAUUAUAUUCACUAGGUAAAGUGGGUGCAUAUAUAGAGGGCGAGGGUGGAGUUGCACACCAUGAUGGAGUGUUUCAUUCUUUUUGAGUGUUUGAGAGAUAGGAUGGUGGAUCAAAAGCAUGACAGUGCACAUUUAGUCUUGCUGCUCCGCAUGAUUGUUUUUCGAAAGCAUGAUAACUCACAAUUGGCAUGACAGCUUGCGACUUCAUUAUUAGCGCGGUCGAAUUUCCUUGCUACCUCACAAUUCGUAUGAAAGUAGCUAGGGUAGUUAACCUGAGCUUUCUUCAUGGCAUCCUCAGCCAUGUCAUCUCUGCCUUGUGAGCCGCAUGACUAUCUAGUACCGACCAUUUAUUGUGUUCGGUAGUGUCACCGCGUGGGGCCAUCAAUGGCACCCUUGUCAUUGUCCCAUCAAUCACGAAACUGAAGUAUUGUUAGUCCUCAAACCCUUGCACAUGCGGCAUGUUAGGGAAACACUUUCCAUCCGUAGUCUGAUAGGAGGUCAUCGUCUGACCUGUCCAACGUCGUCGAUUCAAUUCCAAUCUCACGGUCACAGAUUUUGCAUCAUAUGGAAACAAAUCCCGUCAGCCAAAGCUAACCAACCCGCAAUCCACGCACCUAACCCCUAAUCAAUCGCCCCACCUCGCACACAUACCCCAAGCUAGCCUCGCCAGAUCCCCUCCCCCCGCCUCGCACGGACCUGCCUCCUCCCCGUCGUCGAGCAGCACGGCCAUCUCAUGGGGCAGUUCCGUUUACCUGCUCCUCGCUGCUGCAUCGUCUCUCCACCUACGCGAUCCCCCGGUGACAUCUUAGGUGUGCAAGUGGUGGGUUGAUCCCCAAAUCCUCAUCGACGGUUCAUCCUUCACUAGGUUAUCAUCGGCUGAAUCGGAGUUCACACCUGCUGGACUGUAUAAAGACGCCAUGACCAGCGAGCUCGCAGCCUCAUCACUCCC